GGAAGUAAAAGUCGUAACAAGGUUUCCGUAGGUGAACCUGCGGAAGGAUCAUUAUCGAACUCCCGAAGGGGACGCCAGUUGCUGCUGGGCUUUCUCGGAAGUCAACGUGCACGCGGCUCUCUCUUCUCGUUCAACCAUCCACCCCUAUCUGUGUACCUCACGUGGGCCAAGAUCUCUCGGCCCAUGCUCUCUCCCGCAAAUCCUCGAUUGCAUCAGUGAAUGGCAACCCGUUCGAGCCUGUCUCGACGUAGCAAACUUUGUACAACUUUCAACAACGGAUCUCUUGGCUCUCGCAUCGAUGAAGAACGCAGCGAAAUGCGAUAAGUAAUGUGAAUUGCAGAAUUCAGUGAAUCAUCGAAUCUUUGAACGCACCUUGCGCCCCUUGGUACUCCGAGGGGCAUGCCUGUUUGAGUGUCAUCAGACCAUCAACCCCGAAGGGCUUUCGAGCCUGCCGUCGGUGCUUGGACCUUGCGGCGUGCGGGGAAAGCUCUCGCGAGCUCCGCUCCUCGCRGAAUGCAUCAGCGGACGUCCACCAACAGUCCUGCCUUGGCGUGAUAGCUUUCUGCGUCCUGGCUUUUGGGGCUUGUAUCCUUCGACUCCGCUUCGAACGAGUUGCCUCCUAACGGCGACAGACCACUGACGAUUCGACCUCAAAUCAGGUAGGAAUACCCGCUGAACUUAAGCAUAUCAAUAAGCGGAGGAAAAGAAACUAACAAGGAUUCCCCUAGUAACUGCGAGUGAAGCGGGAAAAGCUCAAAUUUAGAAUCUGGCGGUCCCCCGCGGCCGUCCGAGUUGUAAUCU
RNAcentral lists this ribosomal RNA (801 nucleotides) under Dictyonema obscuratum. Its description in RNAcentral is "eukaryotic LSU rRNA". The stretch from base 264 to 417 matches the Rfam family "5.8S ribosomal RNA". The record is from RNAcentral. Lineage: Eukaryota; Fungi; Basidiomycota; Agaricomycetes; Agaricales; Hygrophoraceae.